RNAcentral lists this long non-coding RNA (1512 nucleotides) under Heterocephalus glaber (naked mole-rat). RNAcentral's name for it is "lncRNA (ENSHGLG00000036899.1)". The record is from RNAcentral. Lineage: Eukaryota; Metazoa; Chordata; Mammalia; Rodentia; Bathyergidae.
GUGCAGCCUGGGUCCCGAUCCACACACUAGCUACAGGUGGUGAGGCAAGGUAUUUAUCAUUUCUGUGCCUCAGUUUCCUAAUUGGCAAAAAUAAGGAACUGAAUGCUGAGCUGAUAAAUCGUUUCUAGUGCUUGAGAGAUAAGAAGUUCCUCAAGUUACAGGCAUGAUUAAUUUCAGGAAAGCCCCUUGGCCCUGGUUAAUUGUUGACCUGUGUGUCAUACUUACUAAUUAUCUGGAGACAAACCUGAAAUAUUUGAAUCAUAUCUCAUAUACAUUGAUAACAGUUCAACCAUACAACUAGUGUAUUUCACACAGAAGUUUGUAUCAGACAUUAGCCAAAUCAACUAUAAAAUACCAGAUUAGAGAGUGAGAAGGAGGAUACCAAACAGAGAGUUGGUUUGCUUGCAGGAUUUACCAUUUAUUUACUCUGUAAUGUACAGAUUUAUUUACUAUCUCAGACAUUCUAAUGCUGUACCAUUGUCCUUGGAAUUCCUGGAUGAAAGGGGCAAAACAUCGCAUGUUCUUCAGUUGAUAUAAAAAGAUAUACCUUCCCUGUGUUCUUUCCUUUAGAAUUGCUGGAGUGCUUUGUAUUUCUGCAAACUGCUACUAUGCUACUAGCCCAGCUCCAGGACACAUGCCUACCUGAUACCCCAAGAUGCUGCAUGCCAUAGCACAAAACAUGAUGAACUGAUAAGGGAAGGAAGGAAGGGACCCUGAGAGACAAGAUGAACAUCUGAACCGAAACUGGCUUCUGUGUGAAAGGCAAACUUCUGUCUUGGUUGUGUGUUGCACGUAUUAUUAUUGUGAGUCAUUGUGGUAGGGAACUAGUGGCAGGAUGAAAUGGAAAUGUCCCUUCCACAGACAAGGAAAUGGCCUCUUUGGAGCAAGUGUUGUUUGACUGAGUGCAGAGGAUCUGGGAACUUAUAAUUUCUUGGCAGCACCCCCGCCAAAAGUCAUUGAAUGCUUUUAGGAUUCCCAAAUUCUGUUCCAAGGAAUCAUCAGGAUCCAGGGAAAGAGGUGACAAGGUGGGAGUGGUGGAACAUACAGUGGAUGAAGGGAGAAAAGGAAGAAAGAAAGGAAGGAAGGAAAGAAGGAAGAGAGAGAGAAAGAAAGAGAGAGAAAGAAAGAAAGAAAGGAGAUAAAGGUUACAGUAUAACUCAAAUGGUAAUAUUCUUACUCACUUUAAGAACCAGGCUGAGGAUUUAGCUCAGUGGUUCUGGUGCCUGCUGUGCAAGCACAAGGUCCCGAGUUCAAUCCCCAGUACCAAAAAAAAAAAAAAAAAGAACCAUAAUGCACAUAUAAUUUAACUCCUAUACCCAUUUUCACUACUCCCUUCAGUCAUGAAUAAUUCAUCACUGUCUAGACUCUGGAUGAGUCAUGUCCAUAUUUGAAACCAGGUAAAUGGUAAAUGACCAUUUUAACAAUGAACUUUGAUUAUUUCUAGCAUGGUAUUCCAGAGGCACCAUACCUCGUUCAAGUACAUUUUCUUGUACAUUGUCAGUCAAGUAGUAC